UAAAUCAUAUAUAAAUAGCAUAAAACUUUCCAACAUAUCCUCUCUUAAUGGAAGUAAUAAAAAUAAAAUGCAAUUCUGUAUAAAUCAACAAGAUGAAUAAAAUAGUUGUUCAAAUGGAGAUUAAAUAAAAGGGGCCAAUCAGGAAAGGAA
Molecule: long non-coding RNA, 150 nt
Organism: Varanus komodoensis (Komodo dragon)
Lineage: Eukaryota; Metazoa; Chordata; Lepidosauria; Squamata; Varanidae
Exons: 3
Source: RefSeq, a predicted model, not a curated record